RNAcentral lists this ribosomal RNA (465 nucleotides) under uncultured Klebsiella sp. Its description in RNAcentral is "bacterial SSU rRNA". It matches the Rfam family "Bacterial small subunit ribosomal RNA", at positions 338 to 795 of the family's 1533-position model. Lineage: Bacteria; Pseudomonadati; Pseudomonadota; Gammaproteobacteria; Enterobacterales; Enterobacteriaceae. The record is from RNAcentral.
CCUACGGGUGGCAGCAGUGGGGAAUAUUGCACAAUGGGCGCAAGCCUGAUGCAGCCAUGCCGCGUGUGUGAAGAAGGCCUUCGGGUUGUAAAGCACUUUCAGCGGGGAGGAAGGCGUUAAGGUUAAUAACCUUGGCGAUUGACGUUACCCGCAGAAGAAGCACCGGCUAACUCCGUGCCAGCAGCCGCGGUAAUACGGAGGGUGCAAGCGUUAAUCGGAAUUACUGGGCGUAAAGCGCACGCAGGCGGUCUGUCAAGUCGGAUGUGAAAUCCCCGGGCUCAACCUGGGAACUGCAUUCGAAACUGGCAGGAUAGAGUCUUGUAGAGGGGGGUAGAAUUCCAGGUGUAGCGGUGAAAUGCGUAGAGAUCUGGAGGAAUACCGGUGGCGAAGGCGGCCCCCUGGACAAAGACUGACGCUCAGGUGCGAAAGCGUGGGGAGCAAACAGGAUUAGAUACCCGGGUAGUC